AAACAUGAAGUAUGCUCAUACAGUCUCUCCAUCUUGACUGCCCAUAUGUGACCAAACAAGGACAACACCAGAAGAUUUGCAAAAGUGGAUGGGAAGAAGCACACCAAUCGCUUGUCCAGUGCUAAAUGGUUUCCAUGCAUGGAUUAUCCAACUCACUCAUUGUUCCAGAAGAAAAGCAAGAGCAAGAACAUCCUGUGUGUUUCAUCAGGACAGACUGAAGAUAGUAGAACCCCAGAAAAAAUGAGAAUUUGGGCCAGUUAGAAUGGUGAAUCCUUGAGGACUUCUCCAUAGGAGGAAAUACAUGUCUGGUACUGAACAUAGUCAAAAUCCUGAUGAGGAAAAAUCACAGACCCUAAGUCUACUGCUGGUGUUUUCCUAAGUGGGCAUGCAACCAAACUGUGUUUUGUGUUUACACAUUUAUCCUUAUACACACUGCUGCUUCUUCAUGGAGUGGUUGACAAUUAAUGCAGAGACGCAUAACUGGUCAAAGUGCUGAGAGUAAGUAAUACUUGACUGUUAACAUCUUAAAAGUGAGGUCUACAACACCGUCUCUGGGGACCAGUGAACAUUGCGGAAUAUGGGAGAGACAGAGCGCAAGAGACAGAGGAUGAGAAGAAGUACUGAAAAAUUGUUUUCUGGUCUAACAUGGUUUUGCCAUCAUAAACUCACAGCAGCUGUGGUUACCUGUGAAGAUCUGCACACAAUUUGGCCUUAAAAUCCCAAUGUGGAUGGGAGAACAAGAUUCAUGAGGACCUACCUGUCCAUGACUUCUUAGUAGUUAAUGGUAGCCUGGGAAAGGAGUGCCAUCUUCAUCAAUGGUUAGCCACUGCUCCAGUAAGCUCUCCCCAACCCUCCUCAUGCAAGCAAUCUUAAUUAAACUCAAAGGGUCAUAGAAGGACAUGAAAAGAGGAAGUGGGUUAAUUGGGAAAAAGUGGGUUAGGAAGAAGAGAGUGAGGGAUAAGAAAGAGGGUGGGAACAUAUAUGAUCACAAUACAUUACAUACAUGCUUAAAAUUGUCAAAAUCCAGACUGUAUUUAUAUAUGUGCAUGUAUGUGGGUAACAAUUAUAAUAAUAAAAAGCUGAACAAUUUGGGAGGGAGGACAGGGAAGGAUCGGAGAGACCAAGGAAGGAUGAAAGAGAAAAGGAAGGGGGGAUAGUGAUAUAAUUCUAUUCUAAUUAAACUUUAUGGACACAAUGUUGAAUUUAAAAUUGAAUUAAUCCAAUAAGAAAAGAAAUGAUACCCCAUUGUCAUGAUAAAGAGUUCCAUAUAGCAUAGCCAACAAUAUAUAUAGUCUCUUGAAUACCAAGCUGAAGGCAGCAUUUCAUUUAAAGCAUUUCUUCUUCUUCUUCUUCUUCUUCUUCUUCUUCUUCUUCUUCUUCUUCUUCUUCUUCUUCUUCUUCUUCUUCUUCUUCUUCUUCUUCUUAAGUACCACACUAGAGAAGGCCAAGUGAUGUUCCCUCAGCAGUAACCUCACUGCACAUGUUGGGAAGACUCUGGAUGAUAACUUGAGAGUGGCUUUAUAAACAUUGUUUUCCUUGUGGUCUUAGAUUAUAAACUGCCUUUACAUAUAUUUAGAAAACUGAAUAAUUCUAUGUGACUAUGUGUUCAUGUGUGUGUAGGUCCACAUGUGUAUGUGUACCCCACAUGUGUUCCUUUGUACAUGGGGAGGGCUGAACAAAGCCUUGGGUAUCACUCCUCAGGUAUAAGCUACCUUGUCUUUUCUUUAAUGUAUUUUUGCUGUUGUUUUUAUUUUUAAGUUUUUGUUGGGUGGUUUGGUUUGGUUUACAGGCUGCAGUGAUUUGAAUAGCUAUGACCCCCACAGGCUCAUGUGGUUGAAUGCUUGGCCCAUACAGAAUGGCACAAUUAGGAGAUGUGGCCUGUUGGAGUAGGUGUGGCUUUGGAGGAAGUGUGUCACUGUAAAGGUAGACUUUAAGGUCAAGCUGCACCCAGUGUGACAUUUCACUUCCUGUUGCCUGUAGAUCAUAAUGUAGUCAUGAUGUAGAACUCUCAGCUCCUUCUCCAGCACCAAGUUGGCCUUCACAUUGCCAUGCUUCUUGCUAUGAUGAUAAUGGACUAAACCUCUGAAACUGUAAACCAACUCUAGUUAAAUGCUUUAUUUUAUAAGAGUUUCCAUGUUAGUGGUGUCUCUUGACAUCAAUAAAUCCACGACUAAGACACAAGACAUCUUGUUGAUUAGGAGUUUGCCAGGAAGGCUUUUUUAGCUGCCUAACCAAUGAUCAACAGAGAUUUCUGCUGUUUCUGCAUGUCUCUCCCUCCCCAGCACCAAUAUUGAAAGCAUACACCACCAAGCUUGUCUCUUUUUAAAAAUGGUUCUGUUUUUUUUUUAAUUGGGACUUCUGUUUGGAGGAUAAGCCCAGUGACUGAAAUUCUUAAAUGAGGAAGUGCUUUAGACUUCAAAGAGUUACCCAAUAAGGAGUAUACCAUAUGACCCUUCCCUUCUUGUGAUGUUAACAAAGAUUUUUCUGCCUCUUUUUCCUAAUAAAUCUGUUUAGCUAU
Mesocricetus auratus (golden hamster) is the source of this 2518-nucleotide long non-coding RNA. RefSeq lists it as uncharacterized. The record is from RefSeq and is a predicted model, not a curated record. The transcript is spliced from 3 exons. Lineage: Eukaryota; Metazoa; Chordata; Mammalia; Rodentia; Cricetidae.